CCGACAUCUCAACGCCUUCCUCCACAACCCCGCUGCCAUCGGCAUCCUCGCGUCUCCGCCGCCUUCCUCUCUCCCCAUCGUCAAAGUUCUUGAGAUGGGGCUCCGGUCGCCAUCUAGUUGUUGCAGCGAAGAAAUCGCCAAUCGACGGUCUUCCGCCGGUGCUUAACAAAAUCGUCUUCCAGAAACUCGACUCUGCUCCGGCCCGCCGACGGGUCCGAUCGGCUUUCAUGGAGCUUCAGCAACAGUUCGAUAACUGCUUAUUAAAGAUGGCUCCUCCUGGGAUCAAGACUGAGUGGCUUCAAGUUUCUGCAAUAUCUUCGUCACCGUCAAAGUUCCGUCCAAGGCAAAAUGCCUUGAUUUAUCAUCUCUACAUGUAGACGCCGAAUCCCCGUCUCCUCAUCCAGUUCACGAGUAACUCGAAUUUUCAAUCGAUGAUCUUAAUGUGGCUUCCGGAGAAGACGGCCCCAUAGCUUAAGCGGAGUCAAGAUUUUUAUUUCUUCAACUUUUGCUAAUCCUGGUGAACUGCAGUAGUUUGAGUGUUUCAUUGAGAGGAUUGAUGAUG
Benincasa hispida (wax gourd) is the source of this 562-nucleotide non-coding RNA. The record is from RefSeq and is a predicted model, not a curated record. Lineage: Eukaryota; Viridiplantae; Streptophyta; Magnoliopsida; Cucurbitales; Cucurbitaceae.